AGUAACUGCUGUCUGAACUCUGAAGAUCUUUGGAUGCUCCUCGUGCUGUGGUACCGCACGUCUCUUUUGCGGGUGAAACUCGGGGCUUCCCCUCUUGUGGAUGGUACAAACUAAAAAAGAGUUAACGAAGAGUUGACAGCAUUGAGAAUGUCUUUUUGCUAUCCAUCGUCUCCAAGAAAAUUGGCGAUGACGGUUGCGUUUUUUGCCUCAGGGGCAGCUCUUUUCGCCCUUGGAAUUCAUUUUUCGUAUCUCAACGUUGCUCCCCAGCAAGCUCGCACUAAAGCCCGUAAUGAUUUUGUCAAAGAACGCCUCAGGCAGAAACAAGGCAAGUGAUUUCAGAUUUAUAUGAGAUUUUUGUUUCUCCCAAAAGACAAGCAUACUUUGAGCGUCUUACUUUAACCUCUCUAGUCUAAAGCUCAUCUCAUCUCAUUGUCACUUUUGUAGUAUUAAACUUUAGCAUUUUGCUAGAAAUCAUCUUGCAAAAUUA
This is a long non-coding RNA of Capsella rubella, 487 nucleotides long. RefSeq lists it as uncharacterized. The record is from RefSeq and is a predicted model, not a curated record. The transcript is spliced from 2 exons. NCBI's taxonomy places the organism in Eukaryota, Viridiplantae, Streptophyta, Magnoliopsida, Brassicales, Brassicaceae.